UCAGUAUAGGAGGUCAGCCUGCCCAGUGACCACAAGUUCAACGGCCGCGGUAUUUUGACCGUGCAAAGGUAGCGCAAUCACUUGUCUUUUAAAUAGAGACCUGUAUGAAUGGCCAAACGAGGGCUUAACUGUCUCCCUUUUCAAGUCAGUGAAAUUGAUCUACCCGUGCAGAAGCGGGUAUAACGAUACAAGACGAGAAGACCCUUUGGAGCUUAAGGUACAAAACUCAACCACGUUAAGCAACUUAAUAAAAAGUAAAAACUUUGUGAAACAUGAGAUUUUACCUUCGGUUGGGGCGACCGCGGAGGAAAAAAAAGCCUCCAAGUGGACCGGGACAAACUCCUAAAACCAAGAGAAACACCUCUAAGCCACAGAACAUCUGACCAAACAUGAUCCGGCCACCAGGACCGAUCAACGAACCAAGUUACCCUAGGGAUAACAGCGCAAUCCUCUCCCAGAGUCCAUAUCGACGAGAGGGUUUACGACCUCGAUGUUGGAUCAGGACAUCCUAAUGGUGCAGCCGCUAUUAAGGGUUCGUUUGUUCAACGAUUAAAGUCCUACGUGAUCUGAUUCCAGACCGG
RNAcentral lists this ribosomal RNA (581 nucleotides) under Tor malabaricus (Malabar mahseer). RNAcentral describes it as "partial 16S ribosomal RNA". It matches the Rfam family "Bacterial large subunit ribosomal RNA", at positions 1840 to 2619 of the family's 2925-position model. Lineage: Eukaryota; Metazoa; Chordata; Actinopteri; Cypriniformes; Cyprinidae. The record is from RNAcentral.